This 529-nucleotide unclassified non-coding RNA is filed under the name Pechuel-loeschea leubnitziae. Its description in RNAcentral is "contains 3 external transcribed spacer, ETS". The record is from RNAcentral. Lineage: Eukaryota; Viridiplantae; Streptophyta; Magnoliopsida; Asterales; Asteraceae.
UUGGUUUGUUUCCGGUGGUUGGCUCUUUGCUUGCGCAACAACUUCCACCUGGCAUACCUCUUCAAUUACACGUCAAGGUUUUAUUGCCUUGAAUGCGUUGUGGGUUUCCUGUGUUGCAUACCUAUUAGACGGUAUCGUUUGGAUCCAUCGAAGUUUGUUUCGUCUUUCGUCAUGCUUGUGGCGUGAGAUGAACCUUGAAGCGGUCUAUGUGGUCUACCUUAUUAAUGCAUACGCGUUGAUAUUGUGGCUCAUUUAGCAUUGCUUGGUUUUCUGGAUACGGAACAUGAAGUGGGCAUGGGGUCUCACACGAUCCUUAUUUUGUCCAAGUUGAGCGUUACGUUUCUCUAAGAUGACUGCCCAGCCCGAAUUGGCUCGUACCACCGGAUGGGAUAUGUUGUCAAAGAGGGAUGGUAGUGCUCUUCCUUCUAAAAAACGACCGCCUACCCGUUUGGCUCGUACCAGCGGGUGGGUGAUGUCGAAGAGGGAUGCUACCUGGUUGAUCCUGCCAGUAGUCAUAUGCUUGUCUCAA